Molecule: ribosomal RNA, 504 nt
Filed under: uncultured bacterium
Lineage: Bacteria
Description: bacterial SSU rRNA
Rfam family: Bacterial small subunit ribosomal RNA
Source: RNAcentral
AAUGAACGUUGGCGGCGUGGAUUAGGCAUGCAAGUCGAGCGAGGAUUUGCGAUUGGAAGCUUCGGCCGAAGAAAGUGAAGGAAAGCGGCAAACGGCGUAGUAAGGCGUAGGUACGUACCCUCGGGUCGGGAAUAGCCAUGGGAAACUGUGGGUAAUGCCCGAUAAUCUCUGCGGAGCAAAGGUGUGAUUCCGCCGGAGGAGCGGCUUACGUGAUAUUAGCUAGUUGGUGGGGUAAUGGCCUACCAAGGCAACGAUGUCUAGGGGGUGUGAGAGCAUGGCCCCCACGACCGGAACUGAGACACUGUCCGGACACCUACGGGUGGCUGCAGUCGAGAAUCUUCCGCAAUGGGCGAAAGCCUGACGGAGCGACGCCGCGUGGUGGAUGAAGGCCCUUGGGUUGUAAACACCUGUCAGAGGGGAUGAAAUCAUGGUUGGCAAUCCUUCCAUGUUGACAGAGCCUCAGAGGAAGCACGGGCUAAGUACGUGCCAGCAGCCGCGGUAAAG